This 467-nucleotide ribosomal RNA is filed under the name uncultured bacterium. RNAcentral's name for it is "partial 16S ribosomal RNA". It matches the Rfam family "Bacterial small subunit ribosomal RNA", at positions 28 to 507 of the family's 1533-position model. The record is from RNAcentral.
GACGAACGCUGGCGGCGUGCUUAACACAUGCAAGUCGAACGGAAAGGCCCUGCUUUUGUGGGGUGCUCGAGUGGCGAACGGGUGAGUAACACGUGAGUAACCUGCCCUUGACUUUGGGAUAACUUCAGGAAACUGGGGCUAAUACCGGAUAGGAGCCCCUGCUGCAUGGUGGGGGUUGGAAAGUUUCGGCGGUUGGGAUGGACUCGCGGCUUAUCAGCUUGUUGGUGGGGUAGUGGCUUACCAAGGCUUUGACGGGUAGCCGGCCUGAGAGGGUGACCGGCCACAUUGGGACUGAGAUACGGCCCAGACUCCUACGGGAGGCAGCAGUGGGGAAUAUUGCACAAUGGGCGGAAGCCUGAUGCAGCAACGCCGCGUGCGGGAUGACGGCCUUCGGGUUGUAAACCGCUUUCGCCUGUGACGAAGCGUGAGUGACGGUAAUGGGUAAAGAAGCACCGGCUAACUACGUG